AAUGAACGCUGGCGGCGUGCUUAACACAUGCAAGUCGAACGAGAACGCCUCAGCUUGCUGAGGCAAGUAAAGUGGCGCACGGGUGAGUAACGCGUGGGUAAUCUACCUCCGAAUUGGGGAUAACAUUGCGAAAGCGGUGCUAAUACCGAAUAAUAUCCUCAAGACUCAGGUUUUGAGGACCAAAGGUGGCCUCUACAUGUAAGCUACUGUUUGGAGAUGAGCCCGCGUACCAUUAGCUUGUUGGUGGGGUAACGGCCUACCAAGGCUGCGAUGGUUAGCUGGUCUGAGAGGAUGAUCAGCCACACUGGAACUGACACACGGUCCAGACUCCUACGGGAGGCAGCAGUGAGGAAUUUUGCGCAAUGGGGGAAACCCUGACGCAGCAACGCCGCGUGAGUGAUGAAGGCCU
RNAcentral lists this ribosomal RNA (409 nucleotides) under uncultured bacterium. RNAcentral's name for it is "bacterial SSU rRNA". It matches the Rfam family "Bacterial small subunit ribosomal RNA", at positions 29 to 417 of the family's 1533-position model. The record is from RNAcentral.